AUGGCGAUCAGUGUAGCUAUGCUUUGGUUACUCGGUACUGUCGUGUUAACAACGUUGGCGUCCGCAGUCACCCCGCCCGAGGGCUCCAAGAAUCGCCACUACGAUUUCGCUAUAAAAAAGACUAACUACACAAGGCUGUGUCACGAGAAGACCGUGCUCACCGUGAACGGCCAGUUCCCCGGUCCGACCAUCUACGCGCGCAAGGGCGACAUCGUCAUCGUCAACGUCAUCAACCAAGGCAAAAAAAACAUCACCAUCCACUGGCAUGGUGUGGACCAGCCAAGGAACCCGUGGUCCGACGGCCCGGAGUACAUAACACAGUGUCCCAUCCAGCCCAGCGCCAACUUCACCUACACGGUCAUCUUGUCCGAAGAAGAGGGCACGCUGUGGUGGCAUGCGCACAGCGACUUUGACCGCACCACCGUCCAUGGCGCCAUCGUCAUCCACCCCAAGAAGGGUACCACCUUUCCCUUCAAGAAGCCACACAAGGAGAUACCUGUCAUCCUCGGUGAGUGGUGGAACGCCGAUGUGAACCGUCUGCUCCAGGAGGCCAAACGGACUGGUGGCGAGGUCAAUAUUUCUGAUGCGAACACCAUCAACGGCCAGCCGGGAGACCUGUUCCCGUGCUCCAAGAACGGCACCUUCAAGCUGCACGUGGAGAGUGGCAAGACGUAUCUGCUCCGGAUCAUCAACGCGGCACUGGCCAACGAGCUCUUCUUCGGCAUCGCAGGGCACCGUCUCACAGUGGUUGGCACAGACGCGCGCUACACCAAGGCGUUAACCGUCGACUAUAUCAUGAUCUCGCCGGGCCAGACCGUGGACGCGCUCCUGGAGGCCGACCGCGCCGCGAACGGUUCGUCCAAUUGCCGGUACUACAUGGCGGCACGGACGUUCGCGUCGAACACCGGCAUCGACUUCAAUAACAGCACCGCCACAGCCAUCGUGGAGUACACGGACGCGCCACGUGCCACACGCGCGGGCACGCCGGACUUCCCCAACCUUCCAGCCGUCAAUGACACCGACGCGGCGACGACAUACACAGAGCAGCUCCGGUCCUUGGCCAGCAAGGACCACCCCGCAGACGUGCCGGCCCAUGUCGACGAGCACAUGCUCAUCACCAUCGCCGUCAAUGUGCUCCCAUGCACGGGCAACAUGACGUGCGAUGGUCCACUCAGCAGCCGCUUCGCCGCUAGCCUCAACAACGUAAGCUUCCAGACCCCCUCCGUCGACGUCCUCGAUGCCUACUACGGCUCCGUCCGCGGCGUGUACGAGCCAGACUUCCCCGACAAGCCGCCCUUCUUCUUCAACUUCACCGACGACAAUGUCCCCACGGAGCGCUGGUUCACGAAGCGCGGCACCAAGGUGAAGGUACUCGAGUACGGAGCCGUGGUGGAGGUGGUUUUCCAGGACACUGCCAUUCUAGGCGCCGAGACCCACCCGAUGCACCUGCACGGAUUCGCCUUCUACGUGGUGGGAAGAGGGUUCGGGAACUUCGACAAGCACAAGGAUCCGGCCACGUACAACUUGAUCGACCCGCCGUACCAGAACACCGUCUCCGUGCCGAAGGCUGGUUGGGCCGCAGUUCGCUUCCGUGCUACAAAUCCCGGUGUGUGGUUUAUGCACUGCCACUUCGAUCGUCAUCAGGUUUGGGGGAUGGACACUGUGUUCAUCGUAAAGGAUGGCAAGACCCCCCAAGCUAAAAUGAUGCGCCGUCCUGCGGGCAUGCCUAGGUGCUAA
This 1737-nucleotide ribosomal RNA is filed under the name Triticum aestivum (bread wheat). RNAcentral describes it as "partial small subunit ribosomal RNA". Lineage: Eukaryota; Viridiplantae; Streptophyta; Magnoliopsida; Poales; Poaceae. The record is from RNAcentral.